CAAGCACCCUGAUCUGAAACAAGGAAGUGUGUUACUCUCACAGGGUGUUUCUCCCACAGUGUGGACGAACGUUGUGGCUUCAAGGAGGCAGCGAACUCAAACAUGUCAGGACGGCGCACAUCUAGCAGGCUGAAAGCCCUUAGACGAUCCCUCGAAGUCCCCAGAAAAGACCCCGGCAAAACCGACUCCAUACUCGCGCCCUGAGAGGAAAUGCGUAUCAAAAGAUCCUGAAGGAAAGACCAAAAAGAAACCAAGUGACACAAAACAUCAGAAGACCUCGAACUCGACUAAAGGCAAAGGUAAACAGUCCAUCAAAAAAUCUUGUGAUGUACCACCUAUUCAACCAAUCACUGUGCCAGAAAGACCCGAACUUGUAGAAAUUAUUGAAAAUACUCCAGGAUGCCGAUCCGGUAGCCAGUUAAUGUUGGAUAUCUUGGUGAUGACACUCGAGGGGGCUACUGCUAUACUGACGUCUGACAGAGACAACAAAUCUGUGAACGCUUUGUACAGGGAAGGGGGUGAGGAGAGGACGAGUAUACUCCCCACGAGUCAAUGUCUGACGAACUUCACUAUCAUCGAGGACAACCUGGUGGCUGCUGGUAUGUACAAACAACCUUAACGAGAGCAUUCUAUACACACAGGAAAAGGUGUAUGGUGCCAUUUCAAAAUAGUAUUUUUCAAAGUAUUCCCAGAUCUGGAUCUACAGCGCACUAUUGACACAAAAAUGCGAUACAGCUCUAUUGCAUUCCUGUCUCCAGGAACAUUGGUUGGAAGUCAUGUCCUGGGAAAUUGUGGAGUGGAUGUAAUUGAUAUGUCUGGGAAUAUUCUCAGGACAUUUGACAGAAGCCACCUAAGUGAACCGUACAGCGUGUGCACCUACAACGGCAACUGUAUAGUGGGAGAUGUAAAGAAUCACGCGAUAAUGUGUUUCAACGACAUGGGGAAUAUGCUGUUUAAGUUCAAACCUAGAGUCGACAAGAAGUUUAUUGGACUGUUGACAGUGAGGGCUCACGGGGGCUUCAUCUAUGCUUCUGACAGAGAGGGCCACAGAGUAGUUCAGCUGACUGUAGAUGGGAAGUUUGUGAGAGAUGUCCUCACCAGAGACGAUGGAAUCGUGAAGCCACAAGGUAUCUGUAUCACUGAUGAAAACCUCCUCUAUGUAUCAGUGUACAACAGUUACAUCAGAGUGUAUCGUAUUGGAUGACAGUGUGCUUGCAUAUGUUCACAUGAACAAGACGCCCAUUGAGAUACACAGUAGGAUCGGUUUGUACCGUGUUCCUUAACAUUGUGCUUGCAUGAAUCAGGUUUACAUGUAGGGAGGCAAUGUAUUAGAAUAUUACUGACUCGAGGACUACACGUUGUUAGAUGCGCAACGAAUGUUGGAAGGAACAUUCAGAAGAGGCCUUAAGCAGGUUCAGAAACAGUCCUUUCUAUUUGUCUAAAAACUAUGAUUUUACAUAUUUUUCCAUAUAGACAUAAUGUCACUGGACUACAGUGUUGUCGCUUUUAGAUAAUAAAUGUAUCUCUAUUUGGCCGCAAAA
This is an RNA transcript of Haliotis rubra (blacklip abalone), 1541 nucleotides long. RefSeq lists it as uncharacterized. The transcript has 4 exons. NCBI's taxonomy places the organism in Eukaryota, Metazoa, Mollusca, Gastropoda, Lepetellida, Haliotidae. The record is from RefSeq and is a predicted model, not a curated record.